RNAcentral lists this ribosomal RNA (433 nucleotides) under uncultured bacterium. RNAcentral describes it as "partial 16S ribosomal RNA". It matches the Rfam family "Bacterial small subunit ribosomal RNA", at positions 29 to 506 of the family's 1533-position model. The record is from RNAcentral.
AGCGAACGCUGGCGGCAGGCCUAACACAUGCAAGUCGAACGAACCUUUCGGGGUUAGUGGCGGACGGGUGAGUAACACGUGGGAACGUGCCUUUAGGUUCGGAAUAACUCAGGGAAACUUGUGCUAAUACCGAAUGUGCCCUUCGGGGGAAAGAUUUAUCGCCUUUAGAGCGGCCCGCGUCUGAUUAGCUAGUUGGUUGAGGUAAUGGCUCACCAAGGCGACGAUCAGUAGCUGGUCUGAGAGGAUGAUCAGCCACAUUGGGACUGAGACACGGCCCAAACUCCUACGGGAGGCAGCAGUGGGGAAUCUUGCGCAAUGGGCGAAAGCCUGACGCAGCCAUGCCGCGUGAAUGAUGAAGGUCUUAGGAUUGUAAAAUUCUUUCACCGGGGACGAUAAUGACGGUACCCGGAGAAGAAGCCCCGGCUAACUUCGG